RNAcentral lists this unclassified non-coding RNA (312 nucleotides) under uncultured fungus. RNAcentral describes it as "partial internal transcribed spacer 2". Lineage: Eukaryota; Fungi. The record is from RNAcentral.
AACGCAUAUUGCACCCACGUGGGAAACCACAGGGUAUACUUGCCUGAGAAUAUGUAUGUGUGAUUAAUCAAUCGAUUUGGGAAAGAAAAAGGAGAAUUCCUUUUCCCUUUCGUUUUGAUUAGUAUUGAGGUGUCGAAAUUUUCGUCCCUUUAAAGUAAUGUGGGAAGGAUAAAAAAAAGAAAAAAAACUAUAAGGAAGCGUUAUUGAUUACUCCAUUAUCGAUGGAAUAUUUUUAUGCGAUCCUGAAAUUGGUUUUUUUUUUUCUAUCAUCUUCAUAAUCUCAGUUUAAGUAAGACAACCCGCUGAACUUAA